RNAcentral lists this unclassified non-coding RNA (282 nucleotides) under Hevea brasiliensis (rubber tree). Lineage: Eukaryota; Viridiplantae; Streptophyta; Magnoliopsida; Malpighiales; Euphorbiaceae. The record is from RNAcentral.
UUCUGAUAUAAUAUUCACUUUUGUAAGUUUAUCCAAAAUGUAUUAAUCACAGAUAUUCUUUUUCUUUCAUUUUCCUCCAUAGAUGCAUCACUACAUAUAUUCUUAGGUCAAAUGCAACUUGCUCUCGUUAAUUUUGGGAAAGAGAUUUACAAGCUAUUAAUUUGAAAACAAAUAAACAGAUGGAAUCCAUCUGUCCUCUGAAAACUAGCUCCUGUUUAAGUAACAUAACAAGACAACCCACAAGGUACCAGUCAAAACGAGAAUCCCAACCCUCUACUCUGU